CUCUGGUAUUGAUUGGUGCUUGCAUCAUGAUUUACAUUUGAGUGAGUGGCGAACUGGUGAGUAACACGUGGGAAACCUGCCCAGAAGCGGGGGAUAACACCUGGAAACAGAUGCUAAUACCGCAUAACAACUUGGACCGCAUGGUCCGAGUUUGAAAGAUGGCUUCGGCUAUCACUUUUGGAUGGUCCCGCGGCGUAUUAGCUAGAUGGUGGGGUAACGGCUCACCAUGGCAAUGAUACGUAGCCGACCUGAGAGGGUAAUCGGCCACAUUGGGACUGAGACACGGCCCAAACUCCUACGGGAGGCAGCAGUAGGGAAUCUUCCACAAUGGACGAAAGUCUGAUGGAGCAACGCCGCGUGAGUGAAGAAGGGUUUCGGCUCGUAAAACUCUGUUGUUAAAGAAGAACAUAUCUGAGAGUAACUGUUCAGGUAUUGACGGUAUUUAACCAGAAAGCCACGGCUAACUACGUGCCAGCAGCCGCGGUAAUACGUAGGUGGCAAGCGUUGUCCGGAUUUAUUGGGCGUAAAGCGAGCGCAGGCGGUUUUUUAAGUCUGAUGUGAAAGCCUUCGGCUCAACCGAAGAAGUGCAUCGGAAACUGGGAAACUUGAGUGCAGAAGAGGACAGUGGAACUCCAUGUGUAGCGGUGAAAUGCGUAGAUAUAUGGAAGAACACCAGUGGCGAAGGCGGCUGUCUGGUCUGUAACUGACGCUGAGGCUCGAAAGUAUGGGUAGCAAACAGGAUUAGAUACCCUGGUAGUCCAUACCGUAAACGAUGAAUGCUAAGUGUUGGAGGGUUUCCGCCCUUCAGUGCUGCAGCUAACGCAUUAAGCAUUCCGCCUGGGGAGUACGGCCGCAAGGCUGAAACUCAAAGGAAUUGACGGGGGCCCGCACAAGCGGUGGAGCAUGUGGUUUAAUUCGAAGCUACGCGAAGAACCUUACCAGGUCUUGACAUACUAUGCAAAUCUAAGAGAUUAGACGUUCCCUUCGGGGACAUGGAUACAGGUGGUGCAUGGUUGUCGUCAGCUCGUGUCGUGAGAUGUUGGGUUAAGUCCCGCAACGAGCGCAACCCUUAUUAUCAGUUGCCAGCAUUAAGUUGGGCACUCUGGUGAGACUGCCGGUGACAAACCGGAGGAAGGUGGGGAUGACGUCAAAUCAUCAUGCCCCUUAUGACCUGGGCUACACACGUGCUACAAUGGAUGGUACAACGAGUUGCGAACUCGCGAGAGUAAGCUAAUCUCUUAAAGCCAUUCUCAGUUCGGAUUGUAGGCUGCAACUCGCCUACAUGAAGUCGGAAUCGCUAGUAAUCGCGGAUCAGCAUGCCGCGGUGAAUACGUUCCCGGGCCUUGUACACACCGCCCGUCACACCAUGAGAGUUUGUAACACCCAAAGUCGGUGGGGUAACCUUUUAGGAACCAGCCGCCUAAGGUGGGACAGAUGAUUAGGGUGAAGUCGUAACA
Molecule: ribosomal RNA, 1457 nt
Filed under: Lactiplantibacillus plantarum subsp. plantarum
Lineage: Bacteria; Bacillati; Bacillota; Bacilli; Lactobacillales; Lactobacillaceae
Description: partial 16S ribosomal RNA
Rfam family: Bacterial small subunit ribosomal RNA
Source: RNAcentral